GACGAACGCUGGCGGCGUGCCUAAUACAUGCAAGUAGAACGCUGAAGAGAGGAGCUUGCUCUUCUUGGAUGAGUUGCGAACGGGUGAGUAACGCGUAGGUAACCUGCCUUGUAGCGGGGGAUAACUAUUGGAAACGAUAGCUAAUACCGCAUAACAAUGGAUGACACAUGUCAUUUAUUUGAAAGGGGCAAUUGCUCCACUACAAGAUGGACCUGCGUUGUAUUAGCUAGUAGGUGAGGUAAUGGCUCACCUAGGCGACGAUACAUAGCCGACCUGAGAGGGUGAUCGGCCACACUGGGACUGAGACACGGCCCAGACUCCUACGGGAGGCAGCAGUAGGGAAUCUUCGGCAAUGGGGGCAACCCUGACCGAGCAACGCCGCGUGAGUGAAGAAGGUUUUCGGAUCGUAAAGCUCUGUUGUAAGUCAAGAACGGGUGUGAGAGUGGAAAGUUCACACUGUGACGGUAGCUUACCAGAAAGGGACGGCUAACUGCGUG
RNAcentral lists this ribosomal RNA (497 nucleotides) under uncultured bacterium. RNAcentral describes it as "partial 16S ribosomal RNA". It matches the Rfam family "Bacterial small subunit ribosomal RNA", at positions 28 to 507 of the family's 1533-position model. The record is from RNAcentral.